RNAcentral lists this ribosomal RNA (230 nucleotides) under Vibrio parahaemolyticus. RNAcentral's name for it is "partial 16S ribosomal RNA". It matches the Rfam family "Bacterial small subunit ribosomal RNA", at positions 135 to 367 of the family's 1533-position model. The record is from RNAcentral. Lineage: Bacteria; Pseudomonadati; Pseudomonadota; Gammaproteobacteria; Vibrionales; Vibrionaceae.
UGUGGGGGAUAACCAUUGGAAACGAUGGCUAAUACCGCAUGAUGCCUACGGGCCAAAGAGGGGGACCUUCGGGCCUCUCGCGUCAGGAUAUGCCUAGGUGGGAUUAGCUAGUUGGUGAGGUAAGGGCUCACCAAGGCGACGAUCCCUAGCUGGUCUGAGAGGAUGAUCAGCCACACUGGAACUGAGACACGGUCCAGACUCCUACGGGAGGCAGCAGUGGGGAAUAUUGC